GGAAUCUUCCACAAUGGACGCAAGUCUGAUGGGGCAACGCCGCGUGAGUGAAGAAGGUCUUCGGAUCGUAAAACUCUGUUGUUAGAGAAGAACACGAGUGAGAGUAACUGUUCAUUCGAUGACGGUAUCUAACCAGCAAGUCACGGCUAACUACGUGCCAA
This 161-nucleotide ribosomal RNA is filed under the name uncultured bacterium. RNAcentral describes it as "partial 16S rRNA". It matches the Rfam family "Bacterial small subunit ribosomal RNA", at positions 358 to 511 of the family's 1533-position model. The record is from RNAcentral.